RNAcentral lists this long non-coding RNA (349 nucleotides) under Mytilus galloprovincialis (Mediterranean mussel). The record is from RNAcentral. Lineage: Eukaryota; Metazoa; Mollusca; Bivalvia; Mytilida; Mytilidae.
UUUAAUUUUAUCAUAUAAGAAUACCAGUUACCUUCUGUAGAAAUGCCUAUUAAUUAUACACUGUAGUUUGCAACGUUAAGUUAGCGUGUAAUAUAUGUUCUCGGUAUAAAAGUUAAAUAUAUUUUCAAAAUCUUGAUGGAAGACAAAGUGUUCACAUACAGGUCAAAUGCUUAUAAUUAGCCUAUGCAAUUAAAAAUGUUUAUGGAUGAAUAACAACAAGUUUCCAAUUUGUUUUAAAAUUUUAGGACCAAAAAAGCAUCACUAUCCAUGCAAAACCUUAUCUUGAAGUUUAAGAACAUUGUGUAUUGUAGAAAAAGUUCUGUAAAUUUCAAAAGAUUUGAAAGGAUUU